AUUUUUUUAGUAUAAAAAGUACAUAUAGUUUCCAACUAUAAAGUCUUUAAAAGAAAAAAUA
Molecule: transfer RNA, 61 nt
Filed under: Dimorphostylis asiatica
Lineage: Eukaryota; Metazoa; Arthropoda; Malacostraca; Cumacea; Diastylidae
Description: tRNA-Gly
Source: RNAcentral